RNAcentral lists this ribosomal RNA (489 nucleotides) under uncultured Helotiales. Its description in RNAcentral is "eukaryotic LSU rRNA". The stretch from base 127 to 280 matches the Rfam family "5.8S ribosomal RNA". The record is from RNAcentral. Lineage: Eukaryota; Fungi; Ascomycota; Leotiomycetes; Helotiales.
AUGUUAAUUAUACCUUUGUUGCUUUGGCGAGCCGCUCCGGCCACCGGCUUCCAGCUGGUGAGUGCUCGCCAGAGGACCCUAAACUCUGUUUAUACACGUCGUCUGAGUAUACUAUAUAAUAGUUAAAACUUUCAACAACGGAUCUCUUGGUUCUGGCAUCGAUGAAGAACGCAGCGAAAUGCGAUAAGUAAUGUGAAUUGCAGAAUUCAGUGAAUCAUCGAAUCUUUGAACGCACAUUGCGCCCUGUGGUAUUCCGCAGGGCAUGCCUGUUCGAGCGUCAGUACAACACUCAAGCCUAGCUUGGUCUUGGGCCUCGCCGGAGACGGCGGGCCUUAAAAUCAGUGGCGGCGCCUCUCGGGCCCUAAGCGUAGUAAUACUCCUCGCUACAGGGACCCGGUGGACGCUGGCCAGCAACCCCCAACUUUCUAAGUUUGACCUCGGAUCAGGUAGGGAUACCCGCUGAACUUAAGCAUAUCAAUAAGCGGAGGA